This 90-nucleotide transfer RNA is filed under the name gamma proteobacterium HdN1. It matches the Rfam family "tRNA". From Rfam's summary of the family: Transfer RNA (tRNA) molecules are approximately 80 nucleotides in length. Lineage: Bacteria; Pseudomonadati; Pseudomonadota; Gammaproteobacteria. The record is from Rfam by way of RNAcentral.
GGAGAGGUGGCCGAGAGGCCGAAGGCGCUCCCCUGCUAAGGGAGUAUAUCCUCAAAAAGGGUAUCGAGGGUUCGAAUCCCUCCCUCUCCG